This 406-nucleotide ribosomal RNA is filed under the name uncultured Alphaproteobacteria bacterium. RNAcentral's name for it is "bacterial SSU rRNA". It matches the Rfam family "Bacterial small subunit ribosomal RNA", at positions 31 to 453 of the family's 1533-position model. Lineage: Bacteria; Pseudomonadati; Pseudomonadota; Alphaproteobacteria. The record is from RNAcentral.
GAACGCUUGCUGCAUGCUUUAUACAUGCAAGUCGAACGGAGGCCCUAGCUUGCUAGGUGUCCUUAGUGGCGCACGGGUGAGUAACACGUGGGAACAUACCUCAUAGUACGGAAUAACUGCGGGAAACUGUAGCUAAUACCGUAUAUUCCAGCAAUGGGAAAGAUUUAUCGCUAUGAGAUUGGCCCGCGCAAGAUUAGUUUGUUGGUAAGGUAAUGGCUUACCAAGGCUACGAUCUUUAGCUGGUUUGAGAGGAUGAUCAGCCACACUGGGACUGAGACACGGCCCAGACUCCUACGGGAGGCAGCAGUAGGGAAUAUUGGACAAUGGGGGCAACCCUGAUCCAGCAAUGCAGCGUGAGUGACGAAGGCCUUAGGGUUGUAAAACUCUUUCAUCGGUGAGGAUAAUG